UUUCUUUCUUGGAUUUUAGGACAUGUUUGGUUGAGAGAGUUAGACUUUAGAAUGGAGAUGGAAAUAAAAAUAAGUGGUUUCCAUUCGGACCUUUUAGUUGAGGGAAGUUUCAUUUUCAUUGCGAUUCCUAUUCCAAUUUUGGUCACAAACAACAUAUAUUAGAAUAUAUAGCUAUUCUGAUUUCUAUUCAAAUCCAUUUCGAUCACAAAUCAAAUAUAUUUUUAAUUUAUUAAUUGAUCGGGCAUAGUGUAAAUGUGCAAUUUGCGUCAGAUAACUUCUCUAAUGGCAUACAUCAUCACUAAUAUAGUUGAUACGC
Molecule: long non-coding RNA, 316 nt
Filed under: Elaeis guineensis (African oil palm)
Lineage: Eukaryota; Viridiplantae; Streptophyta; Magnoliopsida; Arecales; Arecaceae
Description: long non-coding RNA (EGUI_LNC019150)
Source: RNAcentral